Sorex araneus (European shrew) is the source of this 6767-nucleotide RNA transcript. It is a transcript of the gene named zinc finger and SCAN domain-containing protein 23, with no coding region annotated. The record is from RefSeq and is a predicted model, not a curated record. NCBI's taxonomy places the organism in Eukaryota, Metazoa, Chordata, Mammalia, Eulipotyphla, Soricidae. The transcript is spliced from 6 exons.
GCUGCGGUUGUCAAGGACUCCGAGCGGUCCGGUGCGGUCGGGGCGGGGUGUCCUCUGCUCCCACGGGUGCCGGACUUGGGAAUUUCCGGAAGCAAGGAUCAGGAGGAAUCACCAAGAACAGGUUCUUUUUCCAGAGUGUCCUCGGAGAUGGCCACAGCCUCGGCCCCGCGCCCCGGGGAGUCGCCGGAGUGCUCCGUGGCCGGGAGAGCAGCCCAGGAGGCCGGCGGGAGGAGGCGGCGGCCAGCCCCGGGCGCUGGCGGGGCCGAGGCUGCCCCGCCGGGGGAACUCUCCCGCCGGCGCUUCCGGCACUUCAGCUACCGGGAGGCCCCGGGGCCCCGCCAGGCGCUGGGGCGGCUCCGCGAGCUCUGCCGGCGCUGGCUGCGCCCCGACGUGCUCAGCAAGGAGCAGAUGCUGGAGCUGCUGGUGCUGGAGCAGUUCCUCGCCAUCCUGCCCGCCGAGCUGCAGGCCCGGGUGCGGGCGCGGCGCCCGGGCAGCGGGGAGGAGGCCGUGGCCGCGCUGGAGGCCUGGGAGCGGGAGCUGGAGGAGCCCGGCGAGCAGGGCGAGCAGGCCCCAGCCCGUGCUCGUGAGCGGGAGGCGUCUGAGCAGGAGAGGGGGACAGCGGCCCAGGAGCUGCCCAGCGGCCGACCCCGCGCCCUGGGGGAGCAGCAGCAGCAGGCGGCGCACCCGGUGCAGAGGAGGGAUGAUGAGACACAGACUUGGGAUGUGGAGUUAGCCCGGGAAAAGAAACUUCCUAAAGAAACUCCAUCUCCUUUGGAAGCACCUAGACAACUGAAUGGCCACAUUAUUCAGCUGCCCAAAAGUGGAGACAUCUGCAGCCAUGAGGGACGAUCGGAAAGACAACGGGUCAGCUCGACGGCGGAGAGGCCCUAUAUCUGUGGGGAAUGUGGGAAAAGCUUCACUCAGAAUUCCAUCCUUAUUGAGCACCAGAGAACUCACACGGGUGAGAAGCCCUACGGGUGUGAGGAGUGCGGGCGGGCCUUCAGCCAACGGUCAGGCCUGUUCCAGCACCAGAGACUCCACACGGGGGAGAAGCGCUACCAGUGCCGAGUCUGUGGCAAAGCCUUCAGCCAGAAUGCUGGCCUGUUCCACCACCUCAGGGUCCACACCGGAGAGAAGCCGUACCAGUGUGGUCAGUGCCACAAGAGUUUCAGCCGGAGAUCGGUCCUCAUGAAACACCAACGAAUUCACACGGGAGAGAGACCUUUCGCGUGUGAAGAAUGUGGCAAGAACUUCAUCUACCACUGCAACCUCAUCCAGCACCGGAAGGUCCAUGCUGUGAGUGAGUCCUGCUAGCUCCCCGCAGCGGGGAGGCGACCUCUGCUGACCACAGCUUUAGAUAAUUGCCUGGACCAGUUUCUAUCCCCCUGAAAAGUCCAUCCUGAAGUGCAGAGCAAACUGUCAACUACUUGAAGCUGAAGAGGCCAGCAACCUGGAAACGCCAACAGGUGUCGAUACAAAAAGUCUCGCCUAAAGAGCCUCUCUACGGAAAGGAUCGGGAAAUGGUGGGACAGAAACCUCCGCCGUCCAACCACGGGAGAAACGUGGCCCGGUCCCACCAGGAGUCAGCAAAUAAAGAACACUGACUUUUACCUUUGUAAGAUCAGCCGUGUCUGAGAAUCCCUGUGGGAUGGCCUCAUGGGGAGCACAUGGAUCAUGAACUUCUGUCUGCACCUGGCAGUAAGAAACCACAUAAGCACGCAGGGCAUGAGAACUUUCAACAGGAAGCAGGAGCUUCUCCCUCAGGAAGUCAGGCAGUAAAUCUGGGUUUCUACCUCCUUCUGCAGUGAGCUACCUCAUCCUCCUCCUUCCUGAGCCAGAAUAGCUUCAAUGAAACCAUCUGAAAUAGAGGUGUAUCAGCUUAAUCAAUGGCUGAAUAAGUAGCAGUACUCCUACAUUAAAAAUAAAUAAAUAAAAUAGAGGUGUAUGAUGGCAUGCCUCGGGGUGAAGGUGCUUAUACACAUGGCUCGAUCUCCAGCAUUGCAUAAGAUUCCCUGAACACUACUAGGAGUGAUCCCUGAGCACAAUCAGGUGUGGCCCACAGUAAAAAAGAACUUCUAUGGUAUACUACAUACACUGUACUGGAGUGUAUCCCAAGACCACCUGGUGUCCAGGUUUCAUACCACUCAAAAUAGCAAAAGCCUGGAAGGUCUUAUAUUGACUGGAAAAAAAAAUCAAAUGAUGCUUACACCAAGAUGACAGGGAUGUUAGAGUUAAUCAGAUUAAAAGCAGCCAUAAUUUUCUUUUUUAAUGCUUCAGUGAGAAGUUGUGAAUCCGCAUAAAGCAUGAAAAUACAACAACUUCAGUCUCCGCCAAUACACAUGAGCUAUAAAUCAGAACCAAAUGGAAAUUAGAAAAACUGAAAAUACAGUAACCGAAAUUGAAAUCUCUCUGAAUGGUCUCAACAAUUGAAUUCAGGAGACAGAGUAAAGAAUCAAAGAGCUGGUGCCAGAGUGGUUAGGACAUUUGCCUUGCAUGUGGCAGACUCAGGUUUGGUCCCUGGAAUUCCAUAUGGUCCCGUGAGUACUGCCAAGAGUAAUUCCUGAGUGUAGAGCCAGGAGUAACCCCUGAGAAUUCCAGGUGUGGACCAGUAUCUAGAACAAUAGAAAAAAACCCAAUUAUAACAAAGAAAAGCUACCUGGGAGAUGAAUGGGGUGGGGGCAAAGAAGGUCUCCCAAAGAAUAGUUACUUCCUAAUCUCCAGGACCUAUGAGUGUAUUAUAAAAGGUAGCACUGUAGCACUGUCUUCCCAUUGUUCAUCUAUUUGCUCGAGUGGGCACCAGUAACGUCUCCAUUGUGGGACUUGUUACUGUUUUUGGCAUAUUGAAUAUGCCAUGGGUAGCUUGCUAGGCUCUGCUGUGCGGGCAGGAUACUCUUGGUAACUUGCCAGGCUCUCCAAGAGGGACAGAGGAAUUGAACCCGGGUCAGCUGUGUGCAAGGCAAACGCCCUACCCUAUGCUAUUGCUCUAGUCCAUUACAAAAAAUAACUCUUACAAAUCUUCAACUUGAGUUACAUCUGACUUUGGUUACAGCCAUUACAAAUGGGAAAUGUUUUAAAUGGAAAAUGCAUUUUAUACACCAAACCAAACUUCAUUGCUUGCCUAGACUACCAUAAAACUUUCUCAAAACAUUUAUAUUAGCUAUAUGGAAGCCUGACAAAAAUCAUCUAACAAGUAGAUAAAAAUCAUUUAUUUCUAGUAAAGUGUAAAUAACGGAUGUAAUAAUUUACCGAAGAGCUCAGUUGAGAGGCCUUCCGCACUGCAUCUCAAAGCAAAAAGUUUCUGAAGAAAUCGAACUGUAAGGGAAUAAAUCUAGCAGAUUUGAAAAAGUGUUUCAGUAUGCUCAGUAUGGAAAAACUUAUGAAUCUUAAGAAAAAAAGAAGGAAUUUAGGGUAUUGCAGGGAAGAAAAAAUCAGCCUGCCCAUGAGGAAAAUGGAGUAAAUUUGACUGAUAAUGCAAACCUUGAUGAACAGCAGGGACGGGGUGUAGGAGAAAAAUCCUAUGAAUGUGAUAACUGGGCAGACAUUCAGACAGCACUUCCGCCUCUUCGGACAUCAGAGGAUUCCUACUGGAGAGAGGCCUUGCAAAUGUGGAAAAACUUUCAGCAGGGAAACUGUACUCAUUCAACACAAAAUAAUACACAUGGGAGAAAGAACAUAAACGUUAAUGAGUAGUGAGUGUGACAAAGCCUUUGGCCAGUGUCCAUCUCUUAACAGAAAUUCCACAUGGGAGAGAAAAAAUUACCACUGUAAUAAAUGUGGCAAAGCCAUUAGCCAGAAAGCAGGCCUUUUCUACCACCUCAAGAUCCACAUGAAGAUGCAAAAACCUAAUUGUACUCAGGGUAAUAAAAGUUUUAGCUGGCAUUCACUACUUCUUCAAAUAACGAAGCUCAUGCUGGGGAACAGCCUGUGAGUGUACUGAGUGUGGAGAUGCCUUCAUUAGCCCUUGCUUCCCAUCAGCAGAUCCAUCACAAAGAAAAAUGUUAUCCGUGUAAGGAAUGUGGAACAUCCUUCAGUCAGAGCGGUCUUGCGCAGCAUCAGAGAAUACACAAUAGAAAGAAACCCAACUGUGAUUCCUGUGGAAAGUCUUUAUUCAGAGGACAAAUUUUAUGGAACAUCAGCACAUUCACAUUAAAGAGAGACCCUGUAAAUGUGAAAAGUGUGGGAAGGCUUUCAACAGUCACUCCUGAGGGAACGCCAGAGAAUCCUCACUGGAGAGAGGCUCUACAAGUGUAAUGGGUGCGGGAAUGCUUUGGGGGGGGGGCGGUUACUGGCCUCAUCCAGCAUCAGAGAUCCACAGUGAGGCGAAAUCUCACUAAUGUGAUGAAUGUGGAAGAGCCUUAGGAAAUGCCAGAGAAUCCACAAUAGAGGUAGUUCCUAGAAGUAUAAAGAGUAUGGGAGUCAGCAGGAAACACUCAACUCUGAAUGUCAGACUAUCCACAAGGCAGAAUAGUCUGUUUCUGUCUGGCUACAGGAAGCUAUGUCACAGGGUACAGGCUGGAGAGAAUUACUAGCUUUGAAAUGACUGAAGGCAAACUUCCUGCCAACUUUCUAAAGGAAACUUCAUAAAAGAUGUACCAUGUGCGAUCCACUAUAUUAGGUUCUGAGAAGAGCCUAAUAUUUGACUCCUUUGUGGAGUUUAAACCCAGUGUGGGAUGUCAGAUCUGCAUCUUUGGUUACCUCAGAUUAUAGGACAGAGAAUGGAUAUUCAGAAUCAUAGGACGAAGGUGGCAUUUGGCAAGCAGUAUGUGCUAUGAAUUGUUGGUAUUUUUUGGUUUGUGGGCCGUAAAGUGCCCAGGAACUACUCCCCAGCUUGGUCCUUAGGGAUGCUACGCCGGGAGGGAGGCAGUUGUAGUUGCAAAGCAUGCUCUCACACUGAGCAUCUUUCUGGCCCUGUGCUAUGACAUCUAAAGGACAGAUAACUGACAUGCUGCCAAAGAUGAGGAGAAAAGAGGGGAAGGGGAAACAUUCUAGGGUUAAAUCACGUAAGCAGAGGUAAGAUCAGUUGGAAGCCCCGGGGAUAAAACUAACUGAUCGAACGUAGAGCCCAUUCAAACUGGGCAGUUCACAGCACUGAGAUGGAAAUGGGUUGGGGAUGGGGUAAACAGCGAGAGGGCUAGAAAGCCGGUACUUUAAUCUAGUACUAUAUAUAUAAUGGGCUAGAGUGAUAGCACAGCGGGUAGGGCCUUUGCCUUGCAUGUGGCCAACCCGGGUUGGAUUCCUCGCCCCUCUCGGAGAGCCCGGCAAGCUACUGAGAGUAUCUCGCCCUCAUGGCAGAGUCUGGCAAGCUACCCAUGGCGUAUUCGAUAUGCCAAAAACAGUAAUAACAAGUCUCACAAUGGAGACGUUACUGGUGCCCCCUUGAGCAAAUUGAUAAAAAAUGGGAGGACAGUGCUACUAUAUACAACACUUUAAUAUUUACAAAGUGUUUAUUAAAAUAUUUAAAAUACUUCUAAGUUAGGAUUAUUCUUCAUCUAAAAGUGGUUAUCUUCCUUCUGGAGAUGGUAACAAGUUAUAAUCUCAUAUGUAGGAAAAGACAAGCAAUUUAGCACUGGCCUCUUCAGUCCAUCUGUUACUCUAGUGGGUCCUCAGCUUCAGGGAACUUUAGAAACACCUGCCCAGUAGAGCGUGUUGUAAGUGCCCGAAUCCCACCCAGAUGUUGUGCUCCUUCAGUCAGAGCUGAGGCUGAGAAUCUUCCAUCUGGAUAGCUCCAUUAGAGGAAGCUUGCAUGAGUCACAACGGCCGUGUCUGUGGGGGUCUGAAAUGAGGGAUUGCAGACUCAGAUACAGGGAACAGGGACCACCAGCUCAUUGGAAUGACCUGGGAUUUUUUCCUUCCCACACGUGAUUUAAACACUGUGAUUUACUAAGUUGUUCGUGAUGAUUUGUUACAGGCAUUCAUGAUCCAUCUCACCCAACAUUCAUCCCGCCACCGCUGUUAUGACCUGGAAAUUAAACAUCAAGUCUCAAAAGGAGGACCUCAGACUGGCUCCCCUUCCUUCAAACUUACAUGUUUGGAAAUAAGAGAAAUAGGAGACCUCUAAGUACUAGGUCACUUGGCUAGCACGAUGAAGGCCUGAACGCUAUCUGGCAUCACACACACACACACACACACACACACACACACACACACACACACGAGACUUAAGGGUUCAAGGGUCCCAUGGGUCUUUUUGAGAGUGUAUAUGUUAUACAAGGUUUUCUGGUGCUCCUCUGUUUCAUUUUGUUGUUGUUUUGGAGCCACUCCUGGUGGGGCUCAGGGACCAUAGGAGAUGCCAGGGAUUGAACCCAGGUCAGCUGCGAGCAAGGCAAGCUCCCUACCCACUAUGCUAUCACUCUGACCCUGUUUCAUUCUUCCCUUCUCUUUAGUCUUAUAGUUGUUUUCAGAAUUUUCUAAUACUUGCUCUUAAGAACUUGUUUACAACUCUUUGGUUUGUAUAUACACUACUUAGUACAUAAAAGAGCCAGAGAUCUGUCAUUCUGUCCCUUGGAACUUCUAAAAAAACUAGAUCAACAACUGGUUGCCUUAACAAUUUUGUUUUGGAUGAGGAUCUGGUGUUUGCAAUGGCUAGUAGGUAACUCCUGUAGAAGUAUACUUGACUACUGGUCUGUUUAUCAUUCUCAGUACAAAAGUAUUUUAAUCAAUACUGUGAUGUCUUUCCUUUUUAAACAUUUCUUUUAUUCUUUUUUUUUUUUUAAUGGAAUUACCAUGAGGAAAGUUACAAAGCUUUCAGGUUUGUAAUUUAGGGUGAG